UGCACUUAGCUCGAAGAAGGAGCAAGUUCGAGAGGUUUGUAAAGAACUUAAACAGUUUACGGGUUUCAGUCAGUUGCAAACGUUUCUGUCAUUGCAUAUCAAACUCUAUUUGUGAGAUUAAGAUUGAGAGUCCAGCCAUGGACGCCAAGACGGUGUUUCUAUUAGCACUGUCGGCAGUGCUGACAGAUAUGGUACAGGGCCAGUGCAGACGACCUAUACUGUGCAAAAGUCCCUGCGAGCUGGGAGUGGCUCUCCCCGACCGUUGCGGAAUCUGCGUAUGCGCCCCGCAGUGCCCCAUCUGCCCUUCUCGAUGCUAUUACCGACAACCACUAGGGCAAUGUCCUACGUGUGCACCUGCCAGACUCUGCUUCAUAUAGAAAUCUCGCUGCAACAUUGUGAAACUGCAAAACGCAAUAAAAACGAAGAAAA
Molecule: long non-coding RNA, 429 nt
Organism: Rhipicephalus microplus (southern cattle tick)
Lineage: Eukaryota; Metazoa; Arthropoda; Arachnida; Ixodida; Ixodidae
Source: RefSeq, a predicted model, not a curated record